AAUGUGGAAAUGGCCGCCCUUAAUUCUUCACUGCGUUCAGUCUUUUGUGGUUUGUUUUUGCACUGCACCACCACCCCCAUUAAGAGCAUCACUGACACUGCAGCAGAACAGCCUGAGACCUCAGCACAGGAGCUGCCUGACAGCUGAAACAUGGACUCAGCAGCCAGUCACGGUCAGCAGAAGGGCCCCCCACUUUUACUUAAAGAACCAUCAUGUCUGACGGUGCUUGGGAUCUAUCUGUCAGGCCCUGCCUGCCCGUACCGGGGCGGCGAGGUGGACCGACGGGGGAUCUGCCUGUCAGGCCCUGCCUGCCCGUACCGGGGCGGCGAGGUGGACCGACGGGGGAUCUGCCUGUCAGGCCCUGCCUGCCCGUACCGGGGCGGCGAGGUGGACCGACGGGGGAUCUGCCUGUCAGGCCCUGCCUGCCCGUACCGGGG
Long non-coding RNA from Brienomyrus brachyistius, 437 nucleotides. RefSeq lists it as uncharacterized. The transcript is spliced from 4 exons. Lineage: Eukaryota; Metazoa; Chordata; Actinopteri; Osteoglossiformes; Mormyridae. The record is from RefSeq and is a predicted model, not a curated record.